Molecule: unclassified non-coding RNA, 298 nt
Filed under: Herpotrichiellaceae sp.
Lineage: Eukaryota; Fungi; Ascomycota; Eurotiomycetes; Chaetothyriales; Herpotrichiellaceae
Description: partial contains 5.8S ribosomal RNA, internal transcribed spacer 2, and large subunit ribosomal RNA
Rfam family: 5.8S ribosomal RNA (bases 1-71)
Source: RNAcentral
GUGAGUCAUCGAAUCUUUGAACGCAUAUUGCGCCCUUUGGUAUUCCGAAGGGCAUGCCUGUCCGAGCGUCAUUAUUAACCAUCAAGCUUGGCUUGCUGUUGGACCUUGCAAAUACCGUGGUCGGUGGUGGCAGGUCUUUAAGGUAGUGGCGGUGUCGUGAUGGACCCGAGGUACAGCGAGCUCUCCAUAGCACGUAUCUAGGUGGUCCGCCGGCCCGGCCGAAAUCUUGUCAUCUCGAGGUUGACCUCGGAUCAGGUAGGAGUACCCGCUGAACUUAAGCAUAUCAAUAAGCGGAGGA